UCCUACUUGGAUAGCUGUGGUAAUUCUAGAGGUAAUACAUGCAUUAAAGCUCUGACCUCACGGGAAGAGUGCAUAUAUUAGAACAAAACCAAGCGGCUUCGGCUGUUUCUGGUUGACUCAUAGUAACUGAGCUGAUCGCAUGGUCUUGCACCGGCGACGUGUCUUUCAAGUAUCUGCCGUAUCAACUUUCGAUGGUAGUGUAUCUGACUACCAUGGUGAUCACGCGUAACGGAGAAUAAGGGUUCGGCUCCGGAGAGUUCGCCUGAGAAAUCGCGAACACAUCUAAGGAAGGCAGCAGGCGCGAAAAUUACCCACUCUCAGCACGAGGAGGUAGUGCCGAAAAAUAACGAGACCGUUCUCUUUCGAGGCCGGUCAUCGGAAUGGGUACAAUUUAAACCCUUUAACGAGUAUCUAUGAGAGGGCAAGUCUGGUGCCAG
Molecule: ribosomal RNA, 437 nt
Filed under: Nematoda environmental sample
Lineage: Eukaryota; Metazoa; Nematoda
Description: SSU rRNA
Rfam family: Eukaryotic small subunit ribosomal RNA
Source: RNAcentral